This 426-nucleotide ribosomal RNA is filed under the name Triticum aestivum (bread wheat). RNAcentral's name for it is "partial small subunit ribosomal RNA". The record is from RNAcentral. Lineage: Eukaryota; Viridiplantae; Streptophyta; Magnoliopsida; Poales; Poaceae.
AUGAAAAUCCUAGGAUGGAACUGCCGUGGUAUGCUCUCCAACACGACAAUUCGUGAGCUUCUGGACCUACAGGAGCGUACAAGGGCAGACUUAAUUUUCCUUUCUGAAUCCCAUUUGAAUAAUUGUAAAGCCGAUGAGCUUCGUCGUACUUUAGGUUUUGAUUCUAUGUUUGUAGUGGAAAGUGAUGGUAAGGCCCGUGGCCUCGCUUUGUUUUAUCAUAAGUCGAAUAAAGCCGAGUUGAACUAUGUCUCAUCCCAUUUUAUUGAUAUUGUUUUUAUGUACGAGGAUGUGGUUCAGUGGCGGUUCACGGGUUUUUAUGGUCACCCGAAAUGGAAUGAACACUAUCUCUCUUGGAACGAUAUUCGCAAUCCAAAACAUUCAGUUGCGCAUCAAGGGCGGUCGCUCGCACAUGCCACGUCGGAUUAG